GAUGAACGCUGGCGGCGUGCCUAAUACAUGCAAGUCGAGCGAACAGACGAGGAGCUUGCUUCUCUGACGUUAGCGGCGGACGGGUGAGUAACACGUGGAUAACCUACCUAUAAGACUGGGAUAACUUCGGGAAACCGGAGCUAAUACCGGAUAAUAUAUUGAACCGCAUGGUUCAAUAGUGAAAGACGGUUUUGCUGUCACUUAUAGAUGGAUCCGCGCCGCAUUAGCUAGUUGGUAAGGUAACGGCUUACCAAGGCAACGAUGCGUAGCCGACCUGAGAGGGUGAUCGGCCACACUGGAACUGAGACACGGUCCAGACUCCUACGGGAGGCAGCAGUAGGGAAUCUUCCGCAAUGGGUGAAAGCCAGACGGAGCAACGCCGCGUGAGUGAUGAAGGUCUUCGGAUCGUAAAACUCUGUUAUUAGGGAAGAACAAAUGUGUAAGUAACUAUGCACGUCUUGACGGUACCUAAUCAGAAAGCCACGGCUAACUACGUG
This 497-nucleotide ribosomal RNA is filed under the name uncultured bacterium. RNAcentral's name for it is "partial 16S ribosomal RNA". It matches the Rfam family "Bacterial small subunit ribosomal RNA", at positions 28 to 507 of the family's 1533-position model. The record is from RNAcentral.